AAGUCGUAACAAGGUUUCCGUAGGUGAACCUGCGGCAGGAUCAUUAACACGUAUCCAAACGUUAGAACCCCCCCCGUGAACGUUCAUCCUGCUCUUGUCAACCGCGUACGGUCUACAGGAAUCGUAGAAGCGCUAUCCUUGCACAAUCAAUGACACUUUCCGACACUGACUGCUUGGGGAAACAUUGCCUAUAGAACUACGAUUGUAACUGUUCCAAUGUUCGCACGUAGCCAGAGGUCUCUGAAUCACUACAACUUUCCGGGCUAUAAUUUAUCAGAGCCAAAGGGUCCCCAUGCCCCCUAAUAACCCCACAGUUUAAUGUGAAGCUCAAUGUAAUACAUUGGGUAAAAAAACCGAACAACUGUUAACAAUGGAUAUCUUGGUUCUC
This 388-nucleotide unclassified non-coding RNA is filed under the name fungal sp. RNAcentral describes it as "partial internal transcribed spacer region". The stretch from base 1 to 46 matches the Rfam family "Eukaryotic small subunit ribosomal RNA", at positions 1786 to 1831 of the family's 1831-position model. The record is from RNAcentral. Lineage: Eukaryota; Fungi.